UACGUAGGGUGCAAGCGUUAUCCGGAAUUAUUGGGCGUAAAGAGCGUGUAGGCGGCCAGGUAGGUCGGUUGUGAAAACUGGAGGCUCAACCUUCAGACGUCGACCGAAACCCCCUGGCUAGAGUCCGGGAGAGGAGAGUGGAAUUCCUGGUGUAGCGGUGGAAUGCGCAGAUAUCAGGAAGAACACCCGUGGCGAAAGCGGCUCUCUGGAACGGUACUGACGCUGAGACGCGAAAGCGUGGGGAGCGAACAGG
RNAcentral lists this ribosomal RNA (253 nucleotides) under uncultured bacterium. RNAcentral's name for it is "partial 16S ribosomal RNA". It matches the Rfam family "Bacterial small subunit ribosomal RNA", at positions 524 to 776 of the family's 1533-position model. The record is from RNAcentral.